RNAcentral lists this ribosomal RNA (253 nucleotides) under uncultured Methylibium sp. RNAcentral describes it as "partial 16S ribosomal RNA". It matches the Rfam family "Bacterial small subunit ribosomal RNA", at positions 524 to 776 of the family's 1533-position model. Lineage: Bacteria; Pseudomonadati; Pseudomonadota; Betaproteobacteria; Burkholderiales; Sphaerotilaceae. The record is from RNAcentral.
UACGUAGGGUGCAAGCGUUAAUCGGAAUUACUGGGCGUAAAGCGUGCGCAGGCGGCUUUGCAAGACAGAUGUGAAAUCCCCGGGCUCAACCUGGGAACUGCAUUUGUGACUGCAAGGCUAGAGUGCGGCAGAGGGGGAUGGAAUUCCGCGUGUAGCAGUGAAAUGCGUAGAUAUGCGGAGGAACACCGAUGGCGAAGGCAAUCCCCUGGGCCUGCACUGACACUCAUGCACGAAAGCGUGGGGAGCAAACAGG